This 27-nucleotide small RNA is filed under the name Bombyx mori (domestic silkworm). RNAcentral describes it as "ovarian small RNA-4156". Lineage: Eukaryota; Metazoa; Arthropoda; Insecta; Lepidoptera; Bombycidae. The record is from RNAcentral.
UUUCGCGAACAACGCGGGGUUAUCGUC